GCCAUUAUAAUUUAGCUAAUGGAGGCAUUAUAAUUAUUAAUUUCAUUAUUAUGAUUUACUAGGCCUAUCAUUAAAUGAUUUUUAGAUAAUAAUAAAUAAAAGAUAUCUUUUGGUAAUUUGGCUAAGUCAGCUUAAUGAGUUGAGCUCAAAGUCAAGCUCAUGAGAUUAAUAUACGAGUUUAAAAACAAGCUAAACUUGAGCUAAGCUCACGAGCUUACUAAAUGAGCUAACUGCAAGCUGAGUUCACAAGCAUGAUAAAAGAGUUAAAUGCGAGCUGAACUUGAGUCGAGCUCAAGCCCAAGCCUAAUAAAAUCAGAAGAGCCAAGCUCAAGCUUCAAAUCUGAGUUCGUGUCGAGCUUGAGAUUGUGAAAAGCUAACAAACCAAACCUGAGGUUUUCAAAGCUCGGCUCAUUUACACCCUUUGAUAGAUUAAUUUUUUU
Molecule: unclassified non-coding RNA, 440 nt
Filed under: Hevea brasiliensis (rubber tree)
Lineage: Eukaryota; Viridiplantae; Streptophyta; Magnoliopsida; Malpighiales; Euphorbiaceae
Source: RNAcentral